GACGAUAUCUUCCAAGUGUCUGCUCGGGACACGGCUUCAGCCCUCUGUGGUCCCCUCUUCCCGGGGGCUUUGGGAUUCUUGUCAAGCUCCUUCAAGAGCCUGCAAGCACUUAACCAGCCACCCAGAGUUCCCCCACUGAAGAUCUGAGCAUGACCCGGGACAAGGCACUGCCGGACUCUCAUUCUGCAAAGAACUUCUAUGAGAAUUAUGAGCCCAAAGAGAUCCUGGGCAGGGGCGUUAGCAGUGUGGUCAGGCGAUGCAUCCACAAGCCCACGAGCCAGGAGUACGCCGUGAAGGUCAUCGACGUCACUGGUGGAGGCAGCUUCAGCCCGGAGGAGGUGCGGGAGCUGCGAGAAGCCACACUGAAGGAGGUGGACAUCCUGCGCAAGGUCUCAGGGCACCCCAACAUCAUACAGCUGAAGGACACUUAUGAGACCAACACUUUCUUCUUCUUGGUGUUUGACCUAUGGGAAGACACUGAUAUAAUGGAGAUGGAACAGAAAUGGUGCUUGGGCCAGGACUCCCCCAAGUCCACCAACUUCAGGGCCCA
Molecule: small RNA, 550 nt
Filed under: Pongo abelii (Sumatran orangutan)
Lineage: Eukaryota; Metazoa; Chordata; Mammalia; Primates; Hominidae
Description: processed transcript
Source: RNAcentral